UAUUUAUAUAGUUUAACAUUUUAAAACACUUCAUUUUCAAUGAAGAAAUAAGAUUAUCUUUAUAAAUAU
RNAcentral lists this transfer RNA (69 nucleotides) under Dichelops melacanthus. Its description in RNAcentral is "tRNA-Glu". It matches the Rfam family "tRNA". Rfam says of the family: Transfer RNA (tRNA) molecules are approximately 80 nucleotides in length. Their secondary structure includes four short double-helical elements and three loops (D, anti-codon, and T loops). The record is from RNAcentral. Lineage: Eukaryota; Metazoa; Arthropoda; Insecta; Hemiptera; Pentatomidae.